GAUCAUGGCUCAGGAUGAACGCUAGCGACAGGCCUAACACAUGCAAGUCGAGGGGCAGCGGAGAGGUAGCAAUACCUUUGCCGGCGACCGGCGCACGGGUGAGUAACACGUAUGCAAUCCACCUGUAACAGGGGGAUAACCCGGAGAAAUCCGGACUAAUACCCCAUAAUAUGGGCUCUCCGCAUGGAGGGUCCAUUAAAGAGAGCAAUUUUGGUUACAGACGAGCAUGCGCUCUA
RNAcentral lists this ribosomal RNA (236 nucleotides) under uncultured bacterium. Its description in RNAcentral is "partial 16S ribosomal RNA". It matches the Rfam family "Bacterial small subunit ribosomal RNA", at positions 15 to 240 of the family's 1533-position model. The record is from RNAcentral.